This 428-nucleotide ribosomal RNA is filed under the name uncultured bacterium. RNAcentral's name for it is "partial 16S ribosomal RNA". It matches the Rfam family "Bacterial small subunit ribosomal RNA", at positions 354 to 796 of the family's 1533-position model. The record is from RNAcentral.
GUGGGGAAUAUUGGGCAAUGGGCGCAAGCCUGACCCAGCAACGCCGCGUGAAGGAAGAAGGCUUUCGGGUUGUAAACUUCUUUUACCAGGGACGAAACAAAUGACGGUACCUGGUGAAUAAGCCACGGCUAACUACGUGCCAGCAGCCGCGGUAAUACGUAGGUGGCGAGCGGUAUCCGGAUUUUUUGGGUGUAAAGGGCGUGUAGGCGGGACAGCAAGUCAGAUGUGAAAACCAGAGGCUCAACCUCUGGCCUGCAUUGGAAACUGUUGUUCUUGAGUGUCGGAGAGGUAAUCGGAAUUCCGUGUGUAGCGGUGAAAUGCGUAGAUAUACGGAGGAACACCAGUGGCGAAGGCGGAUUACUGGACGAUAACUGACGCUGAGGCGCGAAAGCGUGGGGAGCAAACAGGAUUAGAAACCCCUGUAGUCC